GUGCUCGCUUUGGCAGCACAUAUACUAAAAUUGGAACGAUACAGAGAAGAUUAGCAUGGCCCCUGCACAAGGAUGACACACAAAUUCGUGAAGCGUUCCAUAUUUUU
Molecule: small nuclear RNA, 107 nt
Filed under: Tupaia belangeri (northern tree shrew)
Lineage: Eukaryota; Metazoa; Chordata; Mammalia; Scandentia; Tupaiidae
Source: RNAcentral